Molecule: ribosomal RNA, 467 nt
Filed under: uncultured Oxalobacteraceae bacterium
Lineage: Bacteria; Pseudomonadati; Pseudomonadota; Betaproteobacteria; Burkholderiales; Oxalobacteraceae
Description: bacterial SSU rRNA
Rfam family: Bacterial small subunit ribosomal RNA
Source: RNAcentral
UUGUCCGGAAAGAAAUCCCCUGCCCUAAUACGGCGGGGGGAUGACGGUNCCGGAAGAAUAAGCACCGGCUAACUACGUGCCAGCAGCCNCGGUAAUGCGUAGGGUUCGAGCGUUAAUCGGAAUUACUGGGCGUAAAGCGUGCGCAGGCGGUGCUGUAAGACCGAUGUGAAAUCCCCGGGCUUAACNUGGGAACUGCAUUGGUGACUGCAGCGCUNGAGUAUGGCAGAGGGGGGUGGAAUUCCACGUGUAGCAGUGAAAUGCGUAGAGAUGUGGAGGAACACCGAUGGCGAAGGCAGCCCCCUGGGCCAAUACUGACGCUCAUGCACGAAAGCGUGGGGAGCAAACAGGAUUAGAUACCCUGGUAGUCCACGCCCUAAACGAUGUCAACUGGUUGUCGGGCCUUCAUUGGCUUGGUAACGAAGCUAACGCGUGAAGUUGACCGCCUGGGGAGUACGGUCGCAAGAUUA